Molecule: ribosomal RNA, 448 nt
Filed under: uncultured bacterium
Lineage: Bacteria
Description: bacterial SSU rRNA
Rfam family: Bacterial small subunit ribosomal RNA
Source: RNAcentral
GCCAGACUCCUACGGGAGGCAGCAGUGGGGAAUAUUGCACAAUGGGGGAAACCCUGAUGCAGCGACGCCGCGUGAGUGAUGAAGUAUUUCGGUAUGUAAAGCUCUAUCAGCAGGGAAGAAAAUGACGGUACCUGACUAAGAAGCCCCGGCUAACUACGUGCCAGCAGCCGCGGUAAUACGUAGGGGGCAAGCGUUAUCCGGAUUUACUGGGUGUAAAGGGAGCGUAGACGGUUCUGCAAGCCAGAUGUGAAAGCCCGGGGCUCAACCCCGGGACUGCAUUUGGAACCGUAAGGCUAGAGUGUCGGAGAGGCAGGCGGAAUUCCUAGUGUAGCGGUGAAAUGCGUAGAUAUUAGGAGGAACACCAGUGGCGAAGGCGGCCUGCCGGACGAUGACUGACGUUGAGGCUCGAAAGCGUGGGGAGCAAACAGGAUUAGAUACCCCCGUAGGG